RNAcentral lists this ribosomal RNA (292 nucleotides) under uncultured Bacteroides sp. RNAcentral's name for it is "partial 16S ribosomal RNA". It matches the Rfam family "Bacterial small subunit ribosomal RNA", at positions 56 to 339 of the family's 1533-position model. The record is from RNAcentral. Lineage: Bacteria; Pseudomonadati; Bacteroidota; Bacteroidia; Bacteroidales; Bacteroidaceae.
UGCAAGUCGAGGGGCAUCAGUUUGGUUUGCUUGCAAACCAAAGCUGGCGACCGGCGCACGGGUGAGUAACACGUAUCCAACCUGCCGAUAACUCCGGAAUAGCCUUUCGAAAGAAAGAUUAAUACCGGAUAGCAUACGAAUAUCGCAUGAUAUUUUUAUUAAAGAAUUUCGGUUAUCGAUGGGGAUGCGUUCCAUUAGUUUGUUGGCGGGGUAACGGCCCACCAAGACAACGAUGGAUAGGGGUUCUGAGAGGAAGGUCCCCACAUUGGAACUGAGACACGGUCCAAACUCC